AGCGACAGGCUUAACACAUGCAAGUCGAGGGGCAUCGGGGUAGUGCUUGCACUACUGCCGGCGACCGGCGCACGGGUGAGUAACACGUAUGGAACCUGCCCGCAGCAGGGGGAUAAGCGGAAGAAAUUCCGUCUAAUACCGCGUAACAACGUUGGGAGGCAUCUCCCGAUGUUUAAAGAUUUAUCGGCUGCGGAUGGCCAUGCGGCGCAUUAGCUAGUCGGCGGGGUAACGGCCCACCGAGGCGACGAUGCGUAGGGGUUCUGAGAGGAAGGUCCCCCACACUGGUACUGAGACACGGACCAGACUCCUACGGGAGGCAGCAGUGAGGAAUAUUGGUCAAUGGCCGAGAGGCUGAACCAGCCAAGUCGCGUGAGGGAAGACGGCCCUACGGGUUGUAAACCUCUUUUGUCGGGGAGCAAAGCGAACCACGUGUGGUUCAUUGAGAGUACCCGAAGAAAAAGCAUCGGCUAACUCCGUGCCAGCAGCCGCGGUAAUACGUAGGAUGCGAGCGUUAUCCGGAUUUAUUGGGUUUAAAGGGUGCGCAGGCGGAGGUGCAAGUCAGCGGUCAAAUUGCGGGGCUCAACCCCGUACUGCCGUUGAAACUGCAUCCCUUGAGUGCGCGAGAAGUAUGCGGAAUGCGUGGUGUAGCGGUGAAAUGCAUAGAUAUCACGCAGAACUCCGAUUGCGAAGGCAGCAUACCGGCGCGCAACUGACGCUCAUGCACGAAAGCGUGGGUAUCGAACAGGAUUAGAUACCCUGGUGGUCCACGCAGUAAACGAUG
RNAcentral lists this ribosomal RNA (781 nucleotides) under uncultured bacterium. RNAcentral describes it as "bacterial SSU rRNA". It matches the Rfam family "Bacterial small subunit ribosomal RNA", at positions 38 to 811 of the family's 1533-position model. The record is from RNAcentral.